GGCUUAUUGAGUAUGAUUUUAAGUCUAGCCUGCCCAAUGAGGAGUUAAAUGGCCGCGGUAUACUGACCGUGCAAAGGUAGCAUAAUCAUUAGUUUUUUAAUUGAAAGCUAGAAUGAAAGGUUUGAUGAAAGAAAGACUGUCUCUGUAAAAAUUAAAUAGAAUUUUAUUUUUAAGUUAAAAAGCUUAAAUUUUAGUGGAAGACGAGAAGACCCUAUAGAGUUUAAUAUUUGAUUAAAUUAAAAAAUUUUUGGUUAAGAUUUAAUUUAAAAUUUAAUUAAAUAUUUUGCUGGGGUGGUAGAAAAAUUUGAUAAACUUUUUCUAAAGUUAAUUCACAAAUUUGUGUUUUUUUGAUCCUUAUUUUUAGAUUAAAAGAUUAAACUACCUUAGGGAUAACAGCGUAAUUUUUUUUAGAGUUCUUAUCGAAAAAAAAGUUUGCGACCUCGAUGUUGGAUUAAAAUUUAUAGUUGAUGAAGAAGUUAAUUAAUUAGGUCUGUUCGACCUUUAAAAUUUUACAUGAUCUGAGUUUAAACCGGUGUGAG
Molecule: ribosomal RNA, 539 nt
Filed under: Trigonopterus sp. 862 AR-2022a
Lineage: Eukaryota; Metazoa; Arthropoda; Insecta; Coleoptera; Curculionidae
Description: partial large subunit ribosomal RNA
Rfam family: Bacterial large subunit ribosomal RNA
Source: RNAcentral